This 72-nucleotide transfer RNA is filed under the name Bos taurus (domestic cattle). It matches the Rfam family "tRNA". From Rfam's summary of the family: Transfer RNA (tRNA) molecules are approximately 80 nucleotides in length. Their secondary structure includes four short double-helical elements and three loops (D, anti-codon, and T loops). The record is from Rfam by way of RNAcentral. Lineage: Eukaryota; Metazoa; Chordata; Mammalia; Artiodactyla; Bovidae. RNAcentral also lists the same sequence under 2 other names.
UCCCUGGUGGCUUAGACGGUAAAGCGUCUGCCUACAAUGCAGGAGACCCGGGUUUGAUCCCUGAGUCGGGAA